UGGGGAAUAUUGGGCAAUGGGCGAAAGCCUGACCCAGCAACGCCGCGUGAAGGAAGAAGGUUUUCGGAUCGUAAACUCCUAUCCUUGGUGAAGAUAAUGACGGUAGCCAAGAAGGAAGCCCCGGCUAACUACGUGCCAGCAGCCGCGGUAAUACGUAGGGGGCAAGCGUUGUCCGGAAUGAUUGGGCGUAAAGGGCGCGUAGGCGGCCUGGUAAGUCUGGAGUGAAAGUCCUGCUUUUAAGGUGGGAAUUGCUUUGGAUACUGCUGGGCUUGAGUGCAGGAGAGGUAAGUGGAAUUCCCGGUGUAGCGGUGAAAUGCGUAGAGAUCGGGAGGAACACCAGUGGCGAAGGCGACUUACUGGACUGUAACUGACGCUGAGGCGCGAAAGUGUGGGGAGCAAACAGG
Molecule: ribosomal RNA, 404 nt
Filed under: uncultured prokaryote
Also listed under: 1 other name
Description: bacterial SSU rRNA
Rfam family: Bacterial small subunit ribosomal RNA
Source: RNAcentral